RNAcentral lists this ribosomal RNA (440 nucleotides) under uncultured bacterium. RNAcentral's name for it is "partial 16S ribosomal RNA". It matches the Rfam family "Bacterial small subunit ribosomal RNA", at positions 338 to 795 of the family's 1533-position model. The record is from RNAcentral.
CCUACGGGAGGCAGCAGUAGGGAAUAUUGCUCAAUGGGGGAAACCCUGAAGCAGCAACGCCGCGUGGAGGAUGAAGGUUUUAGGAUUGUAAACUCCUUUUGUGAGAGAAGAUAAUGACGGUAUCUCACGAAUAAGCACCGGCUAACUCCGUGCCAGCAGCCGCGGUAAUACGGCGGGUGCAAGCGUUACCCGGAAUCACUGGGCGUAAAGAGUGCGCAGGCGGGUUUGUAAGUCAGAUGUGAAAUCCUGUGGCUUAACUACAGAACUGCAUUUGAAACUAGGAGUCUAGAGUGUGGGAGAGGUAGGUGGAAUUCUUGGUGUAGGGGUAAAAUGCGUAGAUAUCAAGAGGAAUACUGAUUGCGAAGGCGACCUACUGGAACAUUACUGACGCUCAUGCACGAAAGCGUGGGGAGCGAACAGGAUUAGAUACCCGAGUAGUC